RNAcentral lists this ribosomal RNA (501 nucleotides) under Acinetobacter sp. WH043. Its description in RNAcentral is "bacterial SSU rRNA". It matches the Rfam family "Bacterial small subunit ribosomal RNA", at positions 100 to 598 of the family's 1533-position model. The record is from RNAcentral. Lineage: Bacteria; Pseudomonadati; Pseudomonadota; Gammaproteobacteria; Moraxellales; Moraxellaceae.
UUGGCUGAGUAAUGCUUAGGAAUCUGCCUAUUAAUGGGGGACAACAUUCCGAAAGGAAUGCUAAUACCGCAUACGCCCUACGGGGGAAAGCAGGGGAUCUUCGGACCUUGCGCUAAUAGAUGAGCCUAAGUCAGAUUAGCUAGUUGGUGGGGUAAAGGCCUACCAAGGCGACGAUCUGUAGCGGGUCUGAGAGGAUGAUCCGCCACACUGGGACUGAGACACGGCCCAGACUCCUACGGGAGGCAGCAGUGGGGAAUAUUGGACAAUGGGCGCAAGCCUGAUCCAGCCAUGCCGCGUGUGUGAAGAAGGCCUUUUGGUUGUAAAGCACUUUAAGCGAGGAGGAGGCUACUUGGAUUAAUACUCUAGGAUAGUGGACGUUACUCGCAGAAUAAGCACCGGCUAACUCUGUGCCAGCAGCCGCGGUAAUACAGAGGGUGCGAGCGUUAAUCGGAUUUACUGGGCGUAAAGCGUGCGUAGGCGGCUUCUUAAGUCGGAUGUGAA